This 522-nucleotide ribosomal RNA is filed under the name uncultured bacterium. RNAcentral describes it as "bacterial SSU rRNA". It matches the Rfam family "Bacterial small subunit ribosomal RNA", at positions 355 to 895 of the family's 1533-position model. The record is from RNAcentral.
UGGGGAAUCUUGGACAAUGGGCGCAAGCCUGAUCCAGCCAUGCCGCGUGAGUGAUGAAGGCCCUAGGGUCGUAAAGCUCUUUCGCCAGGGAUGAUAAUGACAGUACCUGGUAAAGAAACCCCGGCUAACUCCGUGCCAGCAGCCGCGGUAAUACGGAGGGGGUUAGCGUUGUUCGGAAUUACUGGGCGUAAAGCGCACGUAGGCGGAUCAGAAAGUUGGGGGUGAAAUCCCGGGGCUCAACCCCGGAACUGCCUCCAAAACUCCUGGUCUAGAGUUCGAGAGAGGUGAGUGGAAUUCCGAGUGUAGAGGUGAAAUUCGUAGAUAUUUGGAGGAACACCAGUGGCGAAGGCGGCUCACUGGCUCGAUACUGACGCUGAGGUGCGAAAGUGUGGGGAGCAAACAGGAUUAGAUACCCUGGUAGUCCACACCGUAAACGAUGAAUGCCAGUCGUCGGGUAGCAUGCUAUUCGGUGACACACCUAACGGAUUAAGCAUUCCGCCUGGGGAGUACGGUCGCAAGAUU